This is a long non-coding RNA of Cercocebus atys (sooty mangabey), 4456 nucleotides long. RefSeq lists it as uncharacterized. The transcript has 3 exons. The record is from RefSeq and is a predicted model, not a curated record. Lineage: Eukaryota; Metazoa; Chordata; Mammalia; Primates; Cercopithecidae.
CCAGUCGGAUGUUCUCUACUAUAAAAAAUAUUCAUCUAUGAGUUAAAAGCUGCCUAUUUUCCCUAAAUUUUGUAGGGUUUUCUGGUACCACAGAUAUGUCCAGUGAAAGUUUUGAGUUCUAUUUCCCUGAUUCAUAGGUCUAAUAGUAAGACUUUCACCUUGAAGUGACAAAAGGUGCAAUGAAUGUCCAUGGGUAAUAAUAACAUCCUGAGACAAAGUUGCGCUGAACAUGCCAAAGUUGCGUUGAACAUGCCAGAGUCUGACCUCUGUGAGGUCGGAAAGAUGUCUAAAGCUCUGUGGGAAUAAUGCCUGCCGAAAUUAGUUCAGUGCUUCACUGAGGCUACUCUCAGAAAAUGGCUCUGAAAUGAGAUGUAGCAUGUCAGACUUUGAAAUCAUGCAAUUAAGGUUUAUUUAAAAGUGGUACCUGAAAAGAAUGUGCUAAAAGCAUAAGAUCAAGUGUUUCUUUUUAUGUAUAGAUUACACCUAUCUAAUAAGUAUAUACAGUAUUAUAAAACAAGCAAAACUGAAAGUAUCCUUCCAAAAAAAAAAUGUACUUAAAGGCUCUUGGAUGACUAGAUGAAUUAGUGACACAGUAACGAAUCACUUCUUUUAAAAAAAUUUAUUUCACAUAGUUUUUGAUGGGCCUGUAUUCAUACUUUUCACUUUCUCUUUAAUUUCAUCUAGGAAAAUCAGGAAGAUUACAAACAUAAAACCAUGGAGCAAACACCUUGAGGGCAGAAGCCUGGAGAAAAACUAAUGAUGAAAGACAGCCAGAGCAGUGGAGUGAGGAAAGUAGACAAUGACUGAGAUUUUGCAAACCAAAGCUCAUCCACAGAUACUAGCUUGAAAAGGAUAUGUUUGCUCCAAGUAAAUUUCCCAAUUUGAGUUUUUAUUUUCCCACUCCGGACAGUAGUUCAGAGGAAAUGGGAAUAAGAUAAUGAAAAGCUUUUUAUAUGUUUCUUUAACUUUUAGGAGGAGCUAAUGUACCAUCUAUUUGAUGACCUCCCAGUCAAGCCUUAGUCAUAAGCAUGUAGAUUGUCUUCAGCAGAUGUGUUUUCCCAAUGCCAUCCUCUUUUAACACCCUCGUUAGUUCACUGCCUCAUAACCUCCAUUGUCUGAUAGCUGGUGGAAGCAGAAAAAAACAUAAAAGGGCAAAAAAAGACAAUUGGUUUCAGUAGAAAGUGCACCAGAUCUGGGAAACAGGGAUCUCUACCCUAUGAUAUGCUGAAGCAGGCUUAUAUGGACUCGGAGUUAGAAUUGGUUUUGUUAGAUUUUUAGGAAUUUUGUGAGCUAGUUGUUAAAUACAGCCAUUAUUAAAAAAUAAAUUAUGCAAACUUAAAUGUAAAGAAAUCCUACUAAAAGCCAAGAUACUGAAUAGUUAAUAGUUAUUCCCUCCAAAUUAUUUUGCUGUGUUUUACUUUACCAAUGCUUUUGAGGUUAUGCCUAUCUUAUGUAUAUGAUGGAAAUGCUAUAUAAAGGUAAACUUGAAGUUGAUCAAGAUGGAAGUAUCUACACCAAAGAAUUUGGCAAACCCCACAAAUCAGCGGUUGCUUACUGUUUUGUUGAUUGUCUAGGCUUUUUAAAUAAUGGAGAAAUAUUUUAAGUAAUGCAUAUUAAACCUAAAAGUGUGUCAUGUCUAUAGACAUUACAUUGUCAAUAGCAUGAAAGAAACUGAGGAAAUAAUUUUUAAGUAUUUAAAAACUAUUAUCCAGUUCAGCCAAGAAUCUGUUCAUGUAAUUGAUGAAGUAAAGUUCUAAUAUUUUCUUCCAGUUUUCACUUUCCUCUUCUUAAAGCAAACAAAAAUAUUCACCAGCAUUCAUGUCAGAUCUAUAAAACCAAGAGUUUGUCAAACUCAGCAAAAAGAUUCUGCCAAAAUUAAAUGGCUGUAUGGAAUUCACACUAAAGACUGUUACGUAUUUUACUACUGCUAAUCAUUUGUCAGCUGAGAGUUACACAUCUUUUACAUAAAGAAGAUUAUCUUGUAUGAUAUUACAAUGUAAUAUAUACAUAUGUUUUGUUUUGGUUACAAUUCAGUUGUUAAAUGCUUACCAUCACCCCAAUAUUUCUACCAUCCAAAAACUACUGAUUAUGGAUAAAUUGUUUAACUCUGUGAAUAUCAACUUCCUCACCUGCAAACAAAUGAAAUGAGUAUCUACCUCACAGGAUAGUUUUAAAAGUCAAAAGAAACGUUUAUGUCAAAACCCUGUACGGAUUGCAAAUGUUAUGUAUUAUCAGAAAUUCAGCAAAUAUGUUUUAGCUCCUAAUAUGAGCUCUAACAACUUGCAGAGUUUGCAAAGGUCACUAAUACUAUGGUCCCUACCCUCAAGUUGCUUACAAUCUAGUGGUGAGAAAUAUGUGUUAAUAACCUAAAAUUAUUUAAGAGUGUAUCAAAUGUUUUAUAACAGAGGAAAAAGUGAAGUGCUAUGAGAUUAUAGGAAUAUAAGGGAUUUUACCUGGAGCACCAAGGAAGACUUCGUUAAAAAAUGGAAUUUUAAGAUAAGCUUUGACAAAUAAGUUGCAUUUGUAUCAACUGAGAAAGUGGAAAGAGGGGCAUGCUUGGCUGAUGGAUGAAAUCUCAAAAACAUUAUCAUCACAAUGCCUGUUAAGAAAAUCAUAAUUGCAUUGAUAAAUCUGCUACAUAAAAACCGUACUUGUUAUUUCCAUGUAAAAUAGAAAUUAUGCAUUAUACAUUAUGCAAUCCAGCGUGCCUACCCAUAAUCUUACAUUGAAUCAACAGUUGACUCAAUGUUUAGUCAGUUUUUCCAACUUACAAACCAUGUCCCUUUCUAAAAACCAAAGUACAAAUCAAGCUCCUGCCUUCUUAGUGAAAGAAAAAUUCAUAUUGUAAAUUUUUAAAAUUAUUUUUCAAGAAAACUAUAAAAUAUAUUUCAUUCAAGUAUUUCACACGACAGAAGGCACUAUCCAUUAGACUUAAAAAGUGGUCACUGAUUUCAAACCUACGAAUACAUAAAUUACGCAUGCAUUAUGUGAACAAUGAAGGGCACAUCCAAAGUGAGGUUUUCAUGGGAGACUGGAACACUGAGGCAAGAGAAAAGUGAAAACAUUCUACAACCUUCAUGUAAACAAGGACUAACUACUAAAAAGCACGAUUUUAUCUCUCAGUUAAUAAGUCUUGCAAGGGAUGACAUUACUAAGUAAAGUUCAUUGCAAGCUUUUUCCUCUCGCUUGUCAAAAUAUGCUAGGUUUAUAUUGGUGACUCGAAAAAAACAUACAAUGCUUCGAAGAAAGCUUGACAGAGCACUCAGAAUCUGUCUCAAGUAUAACGCAAGGGAGAUGUCUAUUAAUCUCUCACACACACAAGUUUGACUCAAAAGGUCUGUGGCCUUGACCUCAAGUGACCAUGGAAUAGACCACAGGGCCAGUCCAGGAUCCAAAGGGAUUAAGAGGAGCAUUUGCUCUGCUCUGAAAGGCCCUUUUUUCUCCACUCUAGUUUCUAACUUCCCAUUACACACACUCCCUCUGCAAGGCACCGCGCCAGUGGAGCCGGUUCACUCUGUUCUCUCCUUGAUGACAGCUGUCAGUCUGUCGCCGCCUGAACAUGCAACAUUUCAACAAAAUCCAAAGCGGAAUUGGAAGGGCAGGGGCUGAAGCACACAGCCUGAUCUCCUUCCUGGAGGUCCCAGACUCCUUAACCAUCACCUUUCAACCUGCCGAAGGCUGCUCAACAUGAAGAUGUAGACAAAGACUUUUAUGAUGAUCCACUUCCACUUAAUGAAUAACUGAUUCAUUGCAAGCUCUUUAGUGCGGCAGAACAAGGCAGAUGACCAUUCUACAAAGGGGAGGCAGCCGUGGUGGCCCAGAGUCAGUAGUUGAAGCUGCUGGAAUGAGGAUGAUAUCUAGAGAGAAGUGAACAUUCUCCACCUAAAGCAACCACGGCUCUUUGAAGAAGUGACUGAAUCUAAGGCUGGGACAUAUGGCAUUUUUGUGUGGGUGCCAGAAAGCAUGAAAGCACCCAAAUAAUGGUAGGGACAUGUCAAAAAGGCACAAAAGCCAGUGUACUACAAUAUAAGCAUCACAUAACUAAUCAUAGUAGCAUAUUUCAGCUCACUUAUUAAAAGAGGAAACUAUGAUUUUAUAUUGAUAUAAAUAGACCUAAAAUGUGUUGAGUAACUGAAUUUUACAUAUUCUCAAAAUAUCUACCCCUGAAAUUAUUAAUUAUAAAAGAAUAAGUACCUGUAUAAUUUGAGUACAGAAAAAAUGUUCUAAAUAACACUGAAAAUAUGAGGAUAAUAAAAGAAUAAUCUAUAAAUUUAAUCAAAUAAAACAAAUAAUAGAGUACUUUUAUAUGGCCAGAUCACCAUAAGCAAAGUUAAAAGACAAAUUACAGAUUGAAAGAAAAUACUUUGCAGUACAUAUAGCAGAUAAAGAACUAAUAUUAAUAAUACAAGGAAUAUUUAAAACCAGGGGAAGAGAAAAAAAGCAAUAGAAAUAUGAA